GACGAACGCUGGCGGCGUGCCUAACACAUGCAAGUCGAGCGAAGUUUUUCUGGUGCUUGCACUAGAAAAACUUAGCGGCGAACGGGUGAGUAACACGUAAAGAACCUGCCUCAUAGACUGGGACAACUAUUGGAAACGAUAGCUAAUACCGGAUAACAGCAUUAACUGCAUGGUUGAUGUUUAAAAGUAGGUUUUGCUAACACUAUGAGAUGGCUUUGCGGUGCAUUAGCUAGUUGGUGGGGUAAAGGCCUACCAAGGCGACGAUGCAUAGCCGACCUGAGAGGGUGAUCGGCCACACUGGGACUGAGACACGGCCCAGACUCCUACGGGAGGCAGCAGUAGGGAAUCUUCCGCAAUGGGCGAAAGCCUGACGGAGCAACGCCGCGUGAGUGAAGAAGGAUUUCGGUUCGUAAAGCUCUGUUGUUAGGGAAGAAUGAUUGUGUAGUAACUAUACACAGUAGAGACG
This 466-nucleotide ribosomal RNA is filed under the name Gemella haemolysans. Its description in RNAcentral is "bacterial SSU rRNA". It matches the Rfam family "Bacterial small subunit ribosomal RNA", at positions 28 to 474 of the family's 1533-position model. The record is from RNAcentral. Lineage: Bacteria; Bacillati; Bacillota; Bacilli; Caryophanales; Gemellaceae.